GCGGACGUGGCGGAAUUGGCAGACGCGCUAGACUUAGGAUCUAGUACCGAGAGGUGUGAGAGUUCGAGUCUCUCCGUCCGUA
Molecule: transfer RNA, 82 nt
Filed under: Kapaibacterium sp. (SeqCode)
Lineage: Bacteria; Pseudomonadati; Bacteroidota; Eximiradiia; Eximiradiales; Kapaibacteriaceae (SeqCode)
Description: tRNA-Leu
Rfam family: tRNA
About the family: Transfer RNA (tRNA) molecules are approximately 80 nucleotides in length. Their secondary structure includes four short double-helical elements and three loops (D, anti-codon, and T loops).
Source: RNAcentral